AGCUGUUUGCACAUGUUGUCCUGAGGAGGCCCAACAGUUUUGCAGAAAGAGUCUACCCUGAGUCCCAGUGUGGGUUCAGAGCUGGAAGGUCCACCAUAUACAUGGUUUUCUCUGUUAGACAGCUAUAAGAAAACAGCAGGGAGCAGAAUAAACCACCGUACAUCGAUACAACAAUUAUUGCAUCGAUCUCAAGGCAAUGCUUGUCAAGGACAACCAACAACAACAAACAAUUGCGUGAGGGAUUCCCAUCAAUCUCAAACCAUAACUGCUCAGGAACAACCAAUAACAACAAACAAUUUGCGGACGUCGAGUCCCAAGCUUCCGUGGAUCUCACAUGGGGAAGAGUCAGCGCAAAGUCUGAGCAGUCAGCGGAGCAGAAGAUGAAGCAAAAAUAGUUCAUAUUUAAUCAUGAACUUUAUAUCUUGCAAAUGGUGUAAGAGACAUGAUAUUCGUUGUCAUCAGCUU
Molecule: long non-coding RNA, 465 nt
Organism: Xyrauchen texanus (razorback sucker)
Lineage: Eukaryota; Metazoa; Chordata; Actinopteri; Cypriniformes; Catostomidae
Exons: 3
Source: RefSeq, a predicted model, not a curated record